GACGAACGCUGGCGGCGUGCCUAAUACAUGCAAGUUGAGCGCUGAAGGUUGGUACUUGUACCGACUGGAUGAGCAGCGAACGGGUGAGUAACGCGUGGGGAAUCUGCCUUUGAGCGGGGGACAACAUUUGGAAACGAAUGCUAAUACCGCAUAAAAACUUUAAACACAAGUUUUAAGUUUGAAAGAUGCAAUUGCAUCACUCAAAGAUGAUCCCGCGUUGUAUUAGCUAGUUGGUGAGGUAAAGGCUCACCAAGGCGAUGAUACAUAGCCGACCUGAGAGGGUGAUCGGCCACAUUGGGACUGAGACACGGCCCAAACUCCUACGGGAGGCAGCAGUAGGGAAUCUUCGGCAAUGGACGAAAGUCUGACCGAGCAACGCCGCGUGAGUGAAGAAGGGUGUCGGAUCGUAAAACUCUGUUGGUAGAGAAGAACGUUGGUGAGAGUGGAAAGCUCAUAAAGUGACGGUAACUACCCAGAAAGGGACGGCUAACUACGUG
This 497-nucleotide ribosomal RNA is filed under the name uncultured bacterium. RNAcentral's name for it is "partial 16S ribosomal RNA". It matches the Rfam family "Bacterial small subunit ribosomal RNA", at positions 28 to 507 of the family's 1533-position model. The record is from RNAcentral.